Pseudoliparis swirei is the source of this 238-nucleotide long non-coding RNA. RefSeq lists it as uncharacterized. The transcript has 3 exons. Lineage: Eukaryota; Metazoa; Chordata; Actinopteri; Perciformes; Liparidae. The record is from RefSeq and is a predicted model, not a curated record.
UCCAGGCCGGCUGACUCAGCAGUGAUUCAUUAAGACCCGGAAAGUGACUUCUGUAAGACACGGUGCAGAGAAGGAGAGCAGCGCUGAGCCUCCUCGCCCCGAGCUAAACUCCCUCUCAGAGAAGAGGCCAAGACAUGCUGUAAGUGAGAAGCUUAAGUAUUUCUCAAAAAGAGCCCUUCUAUCGGCACGCCGGCCAAGUGAAGCAGCGUGUCCCUGUUGAACAGUGCCGGGAAGCGAG